RNAcentral lists this long non-coding RNA (430 nucleotides) under Trifolium pratense (red clover). RNAcentral's name for it is "long non-coding RNA (TPRA_LNC011644)". Lineage: Eukaryota; Viridiplantae; Streptophyta; Magnoliopsida; Fabales; Fabaceae. The record is from RNAcentral.
ACAAAUUUAGGAGUUGUCUACAUUUCAAUUUCACUUGGCCAAAAUAAAUUGACGUAAAAACCAGAUUUGUCAAUCUUAGUGUGGGGGCAAGAAAAAUAUAAACUACGCAGAAUCUGUUCCAAGAAAGAACUAAACACAGCUUUCAACGUGAAAAAUAUAAAUACUACACAUUGGAAGGAUGAUCCAGUCAUAACUGCAACUGUGCAUUGAUUCACAAAUAAGCAUAUAAAUGGCAAAAUUCUAAAACAUUUAUUACAUAGUAUAUGUCAACAUACCCCUACCAGACAAGAUGCCAACCAUAAUACACACAUUGAGGGUGUUCUCUAGCUUUUGGGUUAUGUCACUUUAUCUGUGCUGUUGCCCGAAUCCUCAUUGGCAGUGCGAAUAGCUUUGGAAUCAGCACAAGGAGUCAACGGCGGAAAAGAAGGAA